CUGAUACUUCCAAUACUAAAGUAUCCGCCAGAGAACUACGAGCACAAACGCUUAAAACUCUAAGGACUUGGCGGUGCCCUAAACCCACCUAGAGGAGCCUGUUCUGUAAUCGAUAACCCACGAUACACCCGACCACUUCUAGCCCCAAAGCAGCCUACAUACCGCCGUCCCCAGCUCACCUUAUAUGAAAGCACAAACAGUGAGCACAAUAGCCACCCGCUAAUAAGACAGGUCAAGGUAUAGCCUAUGAAGUGGAAGAAAUGGGCUACAUUUUCUAAACUAGAAAAAUCAACGAAAAGGGAGAUGAAAAUCUCCCUAGAAGUAGGAUUUAGCAGU
This 336-nucleotide ribosomal RNA is filed under the name Podica senegalensis (African finfoot). RNAcentral describes it as "partial 12S ribosomal RNA". It matches the Rfam family "Bacterial small subunit ribosomal RNA", at positions 801 to 1339 of the family's 1533-position model. Lineage: Eukaryota; Metazoa; Chordata; Aves; Gruiformes; Heliornithidae. The record is from RNAcentral.